AGUGGAUGGGGAGCAACCUAGUUGUGCGUGUGUAAAGGUAGUGCCAAGAAAAGCGAUGAUCAUGUUGAAAAUCAAUUCCCGGUACCCGAAACCGACACAGGUGGGCAAGUAGAGAAUACUAAGGGGCGCGAGGUAACUCUCUCCAAGGAACUCGGCAAAAUGACCCCGUAACUUAGGGAGAAGGGGUGCCACCGAGAGGUGGUCGCAGUGAAGAGGCCCAGGCGACUGUUAGCAAAAACAUAGGUCUCUGCAAACUCGAAAGAGGAGGUAUAGGGGCUGACGCCUGCCCAGUGCCGGAAGGUUAAAGAAGUUGGUCAGUCUUAGGAUGAAGCUAGCGACUGAAGCCCCGGUGAACGGCGGCCGUAACUAUAACGGUCCUAAGGUAGCGAAAUUCCUUGUCGGGUAAGUUCCGACCCGCACGAAAGGCGUAACGAUCUGGGCGCUGUCUCGGAGAGAGGCUCGGCGAAAUAGGAUUGUCUGUGAAGAUACGGACUACCUGCAUUUGGACAGAAAGACCCUAUGAAGCUUUACUAUAGCUUGGAAUUGUGUUCGGGCUUCCUGUGCGCAGGAUAGGUGGGAGGCGUAGAAGGUAUUCUUGUGGGGAUACUGGAGCCAACGGUGAGAUACCACUCUCAGGAGGCUAGAAUUCUAACUUAAUUAAGGACAGUUUCAGGUGGGUAGUUUGACUGGGGCGGUCGCCUCCAAAAAGGUAACGGAGGCGUACAAAGGUUCCCUCAGACUGGUUGGAAAUCAGUCGAAGAGUGCAAAGGCAGAAGGGAGCUUGACUGCGAGAAGUACAGUUCGAGCAGGGUGGAAACACGGUCUUAGUGAUCCGACGGUGCUGUGUGGAAGGGCCGUCGCUCAACGGAUAAAAGUUACUCUAAGGAUAACAGGCUGAUCUCCCCCAAGAGUUCACAUCGACGGGGAGGUUUGGCACCUCGAUGUCGGCUCAUCGCAACCUGGGGCGGAAGUACGUCCCAAGGGUUGGGCUUUUCGCCCAUUAAAGCGGUACGUGAGCUGGGUUCAGAACGUCGUGAGACAGUUCGGUCCAUAUCCGAUGUAGGCGUGAGAAUAUUGGGAGGAGCCUUCCUUAGUACGAGAGGACCGGGAAGGACGCACCGCUGGUGUACCUGUUAUGAUGCCAAUUGUAAACGCAGGGUAGCCAAGUGCGGAGAGGAUAACCGCUGAAAGCAUCUAAGUGGGAAGCCCACCUCAAGAUGAGUAUUCUGGUGUAAGGUCACGGGAAGACGACCCGUAAAUAGGCACGAGGUGGAAGUGCAGAGAUGUAUGAAGCCGAAGUGUACUAAUAGACCGUCGGCUUGACCC
This 1326-nucleotide ribosomal RNA is filed under the name metagenome. Its description in RNAcentral is "bacterial LSU rRNA". It matches the Rfam family "Bacterial large subunit ribosomal RNA", at positions 1561 to 2925 of the family's 2925-position model. The record is from RNAcentral.